UACGGGGGAUGCAAGCGUUAUCCGGAAUUAUUGGGCGUAAAGCGUCCGUAGGCGGCUAGAUAAGUUUGUUGUUAAAGCGUGCGGCUUAACCGCAUAUCAGCAAUGAAAACUAUUUAGCUAGAGUGUGGUAGGGGUAGAGGGAAUUCCCGGUGUAGCGGUGAAAUGCGUAGAUAUCGGGAAGAACACCAGUGGCGAAAGCGCUCUGCUGGGCCACAACUGACGCUGAUGGACGAAAGCUAGGGGAGCGAAAGGG
Molecule: ribosomal RNA, 253 nt
Filed under: uncultured bacterium
Lineage: Bacteria
Description: partial 16S ribosomal RNA
Rfam family: Bacterial small subunit ribosomal RNA
Source: RNAcentral